GGGGGUAACGCUCAGUGGUAGAGCACAUGCUUAGCUUGCACGAGGUCCUGGGUUCAAUCCCCAGCACUUCCA
Molecule: transfer RNA, 72 nt
Filed under: Camelus bactrianus (Bactrian camel)
Lineage: Eukaryota; Metazoa; Chordata; Mammalia; Artiodactyla; Camelidae
Also listed under: 3 other names
Rfam family: tRNA
About the family: Transfer RNA (tRNA) molecules are approximately 80 nucleotides in length. Their secondary structure includes four short double-helical elements and three loops (D, anti-codon, and T loops). Further hydrogen bonds mediate the characteristic L-shaped molecular structure. tRNAs have two regions of fundamental functional importance: the anti-codon, which is responsible for specific mRNA codon recognition, and the 3' end, to which the tRNAs corresponding amino acid is attached (by aminoacyl-tRNA synthetases). tRNAs cope with the degeneracy of the genetic code in two manners: having more than one tRNA (with a specific anti-codon) for a particular amino acid; and 'wobble' base-pairing, i.e. permitting non-standard base-pairing at the 3rd anti-codon position.
Source: Rfam by way of RNAcentral